UGAACUGAGGUGUGUGUGCGUUUUCCUUAAGGUUCAGUGAACGACAGUGGAAAUGAAGCUUAAGGUUCAGUGAACGGAAGUGGAAAUGAAGAGCAACAAUAAAUAUUCAUAAUUUACCAUGAAAAUGAAGAGCAACAGUGGAAACGAAAAGACAUAAUGGAGAUUUAAUAUAUGAGAGGGAAAAGAAGAAAAGAGAGAAAUGAGCGCGUAAAUAAAAGUAAAAUAAAAUUUAAAAUAAAUUUGUUAGCAAUUUUUGGAGAAUUCUUUGCGAAAGGCUAGUAACUAAGUUGACUUUUUCAUACAAUAGAGUGGUCUAUAAGACUACUAAUAUUUCUCCAUUUGAGGUUGUAUAUAGUUUUAAUCCUCACACUCCUUUGAAUUUGUUACCUUUGCCUAAUCCACAUGAAUUUAUGCAUAAGGAAGAGGGAAUGAUGGUAAAGGCCUUAACUCAGGACCAACCACUAGAGCUAUGUCAAGGAGGAUACAAGAAGAUUGAGACUCUACUACAGAUAGCAGAGACACUCUCUUAUACAUGUUAAAAAAUGCCAUAACCUAGUGUAAUUUCCUAGAAUAGGAUUUUAAUUUUCUUACUUAAUUGUAGAGUAGGAAAUUUACUUGUAAUUUUCUUUAAUUAAAUUAGGGUUAGGAUUAAGCAUCUAAAACCUACCUAGGAUAUAAUUGGACUUAAUUGCAGCCCAUAUUAAAGCCUAGGUCAAUCAUUAGACAUAAUUAGGUUACAUGGAGCACAUUUGAUCAUUCUUUCCUUGUGACUCCAAAGUAGGCGCCUAAUUCAAACUAAUUAGCAUCUCCUUCAAAAUUCAAGCAAAACCAAAUCAGAUGAGACGAUGCUAUCAACUUCAAUAUGUAUAUGACAUGUAUCUUCAAAAUUGUUAGCAAUUUGAUUGGUGUAGUACUUGUUCUUGAACAUUUUCUUGCUUGAUUUUAAUUUGAGUCAUACAUAUAAUUUGUUUUGUAAUUUUUAAUUUCAGUUUGUAAAUUAUUUUUAAUCCUUUGUUUUUGUCAAUUCAAGUUCUUAUUUGAAUAGUCCUUAAUUCAAAUUGAUUUUUUUUUAAUUUAAUUCUUUUGACCUCUACUUGGAAUGGUUGAACACUCUGGUGAAAUUGGAGAAAUGAUUCGGUGAAAACAAUCUCUUGAAGAAGAUGAAGAACUGAUUAGCAAAUGUUGAAUUCCCUAAGGAGAGAAAGCAAAAGGAUUGGCUCAACAAAAAGUGACAAACACUUGGGAGGAUUAUAAUUAGGGAAAUUUAAUUGUAAUCUUUGUAUGAUUGUAUUUCUUGAGUUGUAAGUUUGACUAAAACAUUUUUAUUAGUGGAUAAAUAACUCGAAUUAGACAGUGAGUGUGUCUCAAAGGUCCAAAGGUGUCAAUGAACCUCACAUAGGAAACGACUAGUUUAAAUUCCUA
Molecule: long non-coding RNA, 1422 nt
Filed under: Phaseolus vulgaris (common bean)
Lineage: Eukaryota; Viridiplantae; Streptophyta; Magnoliopsida; Fabales; Fabaceae
Description: long non-coding RNA (PVUL_LNC000152)
Source: RNAcentral